RNAcentral lists this ribosomal RNA (121 nucleotides) under Lepisosteus oculatus (spotted gar). Lineage: Eukaryota; Metazoa; Chordata; Actinopteri; Semionotiformes; Lepisosteidae. The record is from RNAcentral.
ACCAGCAGCCAUAUCACCAUGCAACUCACAACUGGUAACCCACUGAAGCUAAGCAGGUGUGAGCCUGGUCAGUACCUGGAUGGGAGACCUCCUGGGAAAAAAAAUAAGGUUGCUGCUGGAA